Molecule: long non-coding RNA, 339 nt
Organism: Sinocyclocheilus grahami
Lineage: Eukaryota; Metazoa; Chordata; Actinopteri; Cypriniformes; Cyprinidae
Exons: 3
Source: RefSeq, a predicted model, not a curated record
GUUAAAAGUCAUUGUUCUGAAUGUAAACGGCCCUUUGCAGCUUGUUCUUGUUCUGUGUUUUGUAGCUGAUAUCGGGGAGCUUCUGGAGCAGCUGGUUGAGGAGAUCAUCGGUUCUCUUUCAGGUCCAGCUAAAGAUUUCUACCAGCGCGAGUUUGACUUCUUCAACAAGAUCACCAAUGUCUCGGCCAUUAUAAAGCCGAUUCCUAAAGGUGACGAGCGGAAGAGAGCGUGUCUGCGAGCCCUGUCUGAUAUCAAAGUCCAGCCAGGCUGUUAUCUGCCCAGUAACCCUGAAGCUAUAGUGCUGGACAUUGAUUAUAAAUCAGGAACACCAAUGCAGAG